CGUGUAGGUGGUUUGGUAAGUAGGGCGUGAAAGCUCCUGGCUCAACUGGGAGAGGUCGUUCUAAACUGCCGAACUAGAGGAUGGUAGAGGGAAGUGGAAUUCCGGGUGUAGCGGUGGAAUGCGCAGAUAUCCGGAGGAACACCAGUGGCGAAAGCGGCUUCCUGGACCACUCCUGACACUCAGACGCGAAAGCUAGGGUAGCAAACGG
This 208-nucleotide ribosomal RNA is filed under the name uncultured bacterium. RNAcentral's name for it is "partial 16S ribosomal RNA". It matches the Rfam family "Bacterial small subunit ribosomal RNA", at positions 568 to 775 of the family's 1533-position model. The record is from RNAcentral.